UAUAUCUACGGUGGUGCAGUAUUCUAGUCAGAUACUAAAACGUUGAAGGCGGGGAUAAAAUAUCGCUAAAGGGCACAUCGAUGAAGUUUCUUGUGCUUCCCUUCGUUGCCCAAACGAGGGGUGGUGCUGGGAGUUAAGAACUUUGGGUAAGAAGUAACGGCAUAUUUCCUAUCCCAUUGUUCGUGGAGACUCAAGGCGGUAAGAGUAGCGCAAAGCAAAAUUACUGAUUGAGAUUAAACCUGCUAUGCGGUGAAUUAAAAGCUGUGUACAGAGUAGCCUGCUUUGAGUGACGGCUCGGGAUUAAAGAACACAACACGUUGGGUUGGCCAAUCUUACGUAGCGAUUGCUUUAUGAAAUUGACGUUGCAAAAGAAGAUAGACGUUUGGGUGUUUGUUAAGGAAAACUUCUAGACUGUUUGAUUGACAAAAUAGGGAUUAUAGUACGGACUUAGUGGCGAUUCAGUUGUGCGUUUGGUGACGGCGCAUCUUCGGAUUUAAAAGGAAACUGCUCUUGUUUUUCCGGCGACGGGGAGUAUCCGAGGGGGAAAUCCUACUGAACCUUAUGCCGUAAGGUUUACUUAUUUUGUUACCACCUUAUUUUAAAA
Molecule: small RNA, 604 nt
Filed under: human gut metagenome
Also listed under: 1 other name
Source: RNAcentral